RNAcentral lists this ribosomal RNA (429 nucleotides) under Gemmatimonadota bacterium. RNAcentral describes it as "Gemmatimonadetes bacterium partial 16S ribosomal RNA". It matches the Rfam family "Bacterial small subunit ribosomal RNA", at positions 355 to 776 of the family's 1533-position model. The record is from RNAcentral. Lineage: Bacteria; Pseudomonadati; Gemmatimonadota.
UAGGGAAUCUUCGGCAAUGGACGAAAGUCUGACCGAGCAACGCCGCGUGAGUGAAGAAGGUUUUCGGAUCGUAAAACUCUGUUGUUAGAGAAGAACAAGGACGUUAGUAACUGAACGUCCCCUGACGGUAUCUAACUAGAAAGCCACGGCUAACUACGUGCCAGCAGCCGCGGUAAUACGUAGGUGGCAAGCGUUGUCCGGAUUUAUUGGGCGUAAAGCGAGCGCAGGCGGUUUCUUAAGUCUGAUGUGAAAGCCCCCGGCUCAACCGGGGAGGGUCAUUGGAAACUGGGAGACUUGAGUGCAGAAGAGGAGAGUGGAAUUCCAUGUGUCGCGGUGAAAUGCGUAGAUAUAUGGAGGAACACCAGUGGCGAAGGCGGCUCUCUGGUCUGUAACUGACGCUGAGGCUCGAAAGCGUGGGGAGCAAACAGG